GAUAGUAUGAUCUAUAUCCUUUGUGAUGCAAUGAGCUGCCACCUUUCACUGCGCCGAUCCUAGCAAAGUUAGCAGAUUCAGUCUUCAUAUAUCUAUUAUACGACAUGAGGAUUUAUUGGUGAGUUCCAAUCGUUCUUUUUCUUGGUGUAUUUAUCUAAUUUCAGUUUGUACGAAGCUUUAGGACAGAAAAAGAUAGUAGAGUAUUUUUUCCUAUAUUGCAGCCUGCAGUUUUUAAGACUCUUAAAUUUCUUAAUAGGUAGAACUAAGUGCAGAAAAGAGAACAUUUAUUGUUAUAAUUUGUAUUUGUGGCAUGAUGUGAUAUAUCCAAUUGUCUUACUUUGUCUAAAACUAUCCUCUUCUCCUAGCAAUUUCGCAAUCCCAAAAUCACUUAAAUGGACAACCGUGUUUUCAUCUAGCAAAAUGUUGCUAGGCUUCAAAUCACAAUGCACUACUGGCUGUGAAUAAUCGUUAUGGAGAUAGUCUAAAGGCUACAUCGAUCAUUAUGUCCAACUUUUGCAACAUGUCUGAAUAUGCAUAAGUCAUAAGAGUGUAACCAUUUGUUAGGGCUGUCAUUUGGCAAGUACUCCAAAAUAAGGCCUUGAAAAUAUCUCAUAGAGAUUCUAUAAAUGCUCAAAUUAGUUAGACAUAGUCAUAGAAAUCAAGCUCAUGCGACACUGACAUUAGUGAAGAAUGUCCGGACUCCAUUUUAUGGGACUAAAUUGGGUAUAUUGUUGUUGUAUGUAUAGUCAUAGUACUUAAGUAGAACGAGCUACAUUAGACUUGAAACAACCUAAGUAUCUAAUAAUUUUAGUUUCAUACUUCAUUUGUUGUGCCAAGAAUUAGUGUCCAGGAAAGCUACUGCUUCGUCACUUUAAGAGGUGAACCGUUGCGAAGUGGUAUAACAAUGUUGCAAAGUUUUGAAGCGAAGCACCUUAGAGAAGCAAGUGCUUCAAUGGCGAAGUGAGGUUAAGUGUGAAGUAAUAUGAAGCAUCUCUCCUUUAUAAUAUAUAUCAUAAACAUUUUAAAAGGUUUAUUUUAAGAAGUUCAACAUCAAAAUUUUACAUUUCAGACGGCAAGGGUUUCACGUCCUCUCUGAUGAUUGAAUUUCAGGUAAGCAUCUUUUCUAGCUUUUUCUCCUUUCUUCUUCUACUUAUCCAUCGUCCUUAGGUGUUUCUUUUCUUUCAUCAUCUACUUUCUUCAUCCUAAUUUCAAAUGUAAUAGGUGAUUUUGAUCAAAGACAAUCCAGAAGAAAUUGAUUGCAACACUAGAUGCAUCUGUUAGUGUCUGAUUUAUAAAUAUAGUAUAUAUAAAUGUAGUUAGUACUCUCACAUAUGCAAAUAGUAUGACAUUCACAAAACAUGUAGAGAAACACAUUUAGCAGCUAUACUAUGUUCGAUAUAAUGGUAUUUAUAUGUAAUUUAAUCAUUUAUAUUAAUCGAUUUUAGAUUAAGAAUAAGACUACACAUUGGGCCCGUGCACGAAUUUUCGCUUAUUUUACAAAAGUCAUUCCAAGUACAUGCAUUACUUCUAUUGAUCCACCAUGUUCACCCACUAACUUCUCAAAGUUGCAAAGAUAUUUUUAGAUUAUGACAUUUCCCUUAAAAUGUUCAUUAGGAAUCUGUAAAGCUUGCUUAAUGUUGAAUAAUAGAAGAUAUGGCUUUUUCUAUCUUGUCUUGAUAUAGAAGUUUACUGUAAGCAGUGAUGUGACAAUAUUGACAAAUUUCCAUGUGAAUGAACAAAUAAAGAAGAUCUCAUUUAGAAGUAUGCGUCGGAAUGCUUUCCGGUAUCCUUGACAUAGACAAACAAAUCAUGUUGUUCUCAUUACCUUUAUUCAAUUGUGUCUCUUCAUCAGUUUUGCAGGUUAGAGUAUCUUCUUCUUCAUUUUCAGCCACUACACCAAAACAGAGUGUCUAUAACAUUUCACGUUUUUUUAUUUACAUGACGCUUGAUAUUAGAUAUAUUACUGAAAUGCUUCAUAAAUUGCAGAUAUGCAUAUUUCAUAUCUGGUGUCUUCCAGUCUUAAGUUGUCCAAUAAUCAUUUGUUUAUGUAGGAGUACAAUGUACAAUUAUUAAAUAUACGUACUUUCUAAGGACACGCUAUUUUCCCAUGAUAGAACAAAGUAUAUUUUGUUGCAGUGCAGUUGUAACUUAUAACCAUCUAAUCAUGUGAUUGCUUCAGAAGUUUUGACUGAUAGACUAUGGUGCUUAGACUCUCUUAAAAUGUUGUCGGGUUCGGAUCCUUUAAAAGUAGUGUAUUUUUGUAGGUAUAACUUUUGAAGUACUACUGAUAAAUUUAAUCAGGCUAAUAGUUUUGUUGUUUCAGGUUUGGAUGAUGGAUGAUAGACAUAAGUGAUAAAUCUAUUCAUUUUUCUAGGGGCAAAAUGUAGAUAAACACAUUGUUUGUGCACCUUUUUUUUGUGUGAAUUUCAAAGUUAAUUUUCACUUAGAUGUAUACAAAUGAUGGUGAUGGGGCUACUGGUUCUUACCUAUGAAGUAUGCUCAUGAAGCUAUGGCUGCAAUAAAUUUUAUGGGAAGGGUUGGG
RNAcentral lists this long non-coding RNA (2542 nucleotides) under Solanum tuberosum (potato). RNAcentral describes it as "long non-coding RNA (STUB_LNC010914)". The record is from RNAcentral. Lineage: Eukaryota; Viridiplantae; Streptophyta; Magnoliopsida; Solanales; Solanaceae.